This 258-nucleotide long non-coding RNA is filed under the name Homo sapiens (human). RNAcentral describes it as "non-protein coding lnc-RGS10-3:1". The record is from RNAcentral. Lineage: Eukaryota; Metazoa; Chordata; Mammalia; Primates; Hominidae.
UUUUAUUUUCAUUCUUUCCAUAUCCAGAAAAGAAAUCAAUAAAAUUCAGUCUUUGUAGCAGCAUAGAAUUCCAUCAUUUGUAGUAUUGAUCCUAAUUUUGAUCAGUAGUUUAUGAAGUUGGUUCUUGCUGUAUUUCUGUAUCCUGGGAUACCACUUAUAGAGGAUUAUGAUGCAUAAGUAGAACGUAAUUUAAAAAUAAUAUUGGAGAAGGAAAGUAGUGGUAAGGAGUGGUCCUCAUCAGAUCUGAGUUUGAGGUUU